This 259-nucleotide ribosomal RNA is filed under the name uncultured bacterium. RNAcentral's name for it is "partial 16S ribosomal RNA". The record is from RNAcentral.
CUGCUGCCUCCCGUAGGAGUCUGGUCCGUGUCUCAGUACCAGUGUGGGGGACCUUCCUCUCAGAACCCCUACGCAUCGUCGCCUCGGUGGGCCGUUACCCCGCCGACUAGCUAAUGCGACGCAUGGCCAUCCUAUGCCGGAGUCGCCUCCUUUGACCCCAAGAAGAUGUCUCCUAAAGGUGUUAUGCGGUAUUAGACGGAAUUUCUUCCGCUUAUCCCCCUGCAUAGGGCAGGUUCCAUACGUGUUACUCAUCCGUGCG